This is a long non-coding RNA of Magnolia sinica, 1219 nucleotides long. RefSeq lists it as uncharacterized. The transcript is spliced from 3 exons. Lineage: Eukaryota; Viridiplantae; Streptophyta; Magnoliopsida; Magnoliales; Magnoliaceae. The record is from RefSeq and is a predicted model, not a curated record.
CACAGAUUACUCUGGUUUGUUGUUAAUUUUGUAUUGUGGUGAUGCUGAUGGUUGCACCAUUAGUAAUUUUGAUGUUUUAUAUAUAUAUAUCAAUUUGUGACUUGUCAUUUGCAUAGAUGUAACUACAGUUCAGUUGACUUCAUAUGAUAUACCAGGCAAUGCAUGCAGCUUGGUUAUAGCACUGACCUGCAUUUAAGUCUGUCUAGCUCUAUUACAAAGGUUCUACUUGCUAUUUUGGAGAUGUUAGUUCUUACAAUGUUUCAUUCUUAUAUAUUAGUCAAAUGCUAUGGUUGAUAUAAUCUUAAAUUCAUCUGUUGUUUUUCUGCAUCUAAUCAGUGUUGGUUUUUAAGACUGAUUUCAUAUCAUCGAAUUGGAACUUGUAUAAGUCUUCAUUCAAGUGAGCAGGGUUUAUAAUAUUCUUUUCACAACAACCAGGAUUUGAAUCCAUCUAUCGGAUGGGUAUUAUUAUGUCAGUCUGGGUUUGAAGGGUGACUAUCAUGUGAGAAAGAGUAUGUUUAUUUUGUACAUAGAAUUUCAAUUUGGCUUUCUAUUUAUGAUAUUCAUUGCAUAAUUUUCAAGAGAUGUUUUUAGAUCUAUACUUUCAAGAAAAACACAGCUUCAUCAGUAAUUGCACAUCCAAACUGACGGUAAUUGGAUUUUUUAUAGGUACAAAUGGGCAAAUACUAUAUGGUAUUUGUCGACAGAGUGCCUGGAAUUUAUGAGAAUUUGGGAGCUUGCUCGGGCACAAGUAGAGGGAUACAGUGGGUCAAGACACCAAUCAUUUAAAUCGUAGGCAUCGGCUAUGACAGAGUGGAUGAAAUUCAAGGCCACUCAACAUCAUGUUGGAUCUUCAACCAAUCCAGUUACUCCAAUCUGGGCGUCAGCAAUCAGGACCGAAGGCCUCACCAGAAGAGUCGAAAGUGAGUCUGCUUCGUUUCAUCGUUUGCCUUCAAGACUUGAAGAUGAAGUUGGGAUGCACCUUCUUUAUGAGCUCAACUCGGAAGAAAAUGGGGUUGAUACAGAAGGAGGGAUUAUGCAUGCCAUUUUCAAGAUGAUUAUUGGAGUGAUGCUCAUAUACGCAGUGAUAUCUUGGUUUGUUUCAUCGCUUUGAUGAUAACAAUGUUUUACAAUUGCUUCGCUGGAUGACUGGGGCAUAGAACACAUAAUCGUUCGGACUCAGAAAAAAGCCUUUUUGGGUUUAACUUGUUCAUAACAUUUU